CUAGCUCAUAUUUGUAUGGAAUGGGAUCGUUUGCAUACGUUUGCCGCUAGGGGCGCUGUUCCAACUGCAUACAAAAUUGGGUUA
Molecule: microRNA precursor, 84 nt
Filed under: Bombyx mori (domestic silkworm)
Lineage: Eukaryota; Metazoa; Arthropoda; Insecta; Lepidoptera; Bombycidae
Description: mir-2807 microRNA precursor family
Rfam family: mir-2807 microRNA precursor family
Source: Rfam by way of RNAcentral